UCCCGUUCUCGAGUUCAUAAUGGUGGAAACUGUAACAGUUAGUUUGCUUAGAGAUUUUUUGCCCUUAGGGUCAAAGUUGAAAAUUCCCUGCAAGAAUUCGUAAAUUACUUCCAUAUUGUUAAGUGAUAUAUGCUAUGAAAAAAUAAGUCUAACCACAUGACCCAAUUAUUGCCAUAUUCGUACCCAGUCUUCUAUUGUUUACUCCUGAACAUUUAUAUAAUUUAUGUACUCCGUUUUCUAAUAUUCAAAUAGGAAAACAACUCAUUAGAGUUAAGUGUCUCAUUGUUUGUAAAACAUGGUUAAAAGUUAGGGCUGUCAUUGAUUAUCGCGAUAUCGAUAUAUCAUCAAUAUUCAUCAUCCGAUACAAUAUCGAUACACACUUUCACAUAUCGAUACAAACUGAAAAAAUUAAUAUUUCUGUUAGUUUAACUAUACCUAUCUAUUUUGGCUCAUAAGAGAAGUCACUUUUUUCUUGGUUAACUUGAACUUUAAACUCCGUUUUCAAAUGUCAGUGACAAGAAUAACAGUAAAAGAACUUUCUGCUAGUUUGUAGUAUUUGAAAUGUGUAAUACAAGUAUGCAAAACAGUGAUAACACCAUGAUCCCAAUUUAUAACACAUAUAUAAAAUUAAUGUUUUUUAUUGUAUCCACUGUCUGUGAAAGUCCAUAUAUCGAUGUAUCGUGACGUCGAUAUUUGUCUCUCGAUAUAUCAAUACAAAAUUUGCCAUCAAUGACAGCCCUAUUAAAAGUGUAUAUUAUGCAUAAUACUAAUGUCUCCCUGGAUUAGAAAAUUCCCCAUGAAUGCUUGGUGUAUAUUAUGUUAAAUUCUCAAUUUGAGUGCAUGCUAUGCAUUUUUCCCAAUUUGUUUGGUACCAGGCACGAUUAACAAAGUAGGGGGGAAAAUGCUGACACUGGGACCAGUGACUUUUCAUAGCAAUCAGUGACUGCUAAGUAGCAAUCUAUGACUUUACAAAGCAACCAAUGACUCCCAUAGCAACCAUUUACUUUCCAUAGCAACUAGUGAUAUUUCAUACUAACUGGAGACUGCCAUAGCAACCAUGACUUUCCAUGAUGAAAUUGACUUCCCUUAAUAAACAGUAAUUUCCAUAACAACCCUUGAAAUACAUUUCUCAAGAACAUGUACCUAUUAUUUCUACCAGCAUCAACUUGAUCCUUAGUAACCAGUGGUAUCCAUAGCAACUAGUGACUUAUUUUCCAAAGCAACCUUUAUCUUUCCAUAGCAACUGUUGGCUUUCUUUUCUUUUCAUAUCAGUUACAGACUUUUCAUAAGAACCAGUGACUUCCAUAGCAAAAUUUUAUUUUCUAUAGCAACCAGUACCAUUGACUUUCAUAGCAACCUGCUGGUCAGCCGGAAUGGUAGCCACUGCAGCCUUUACUACCAGUAAAGAGCCAGGCUUUAUUGUUAGCUAACAAAAUUGAUAAUGGAAGUUUUAUAAAUGAAAGCUAGACAAAGUCUAUUUCAGAAAUUUAGCAGGUUUAGCAUUUAUCUGUAUUUAUUUACUCUUAUUAUUUUCCUAAAAUUUAAAUACUAUAACACAAUUGAAUUAGUUUGUAAUGGUACAACAGUUAAAAAAUAGUUGCUUAAAAUUUCAGGGUCCAAGCCUGUAAACUGAGCCAAGCAAAAUAGAUGUGAUGGAGGAGACAAGUGAUAACAAACUAAUCAAAAGAAGAAAAUGUCAUAUCUUGGAUAAAAAUGGUUACCUUCAACAACUAGAUAUAUUGGUCACAGUUAAAUUAAAUAUUGUUGUCAAGAAGAUUUUCCCUAUUCAUCGUAGAGGAGCAGAAACAUGUUUGGAUGGAACAUGUGCUUAAACUUUGCAUAAGUUUUGUUGAAACUUUCAUUUGAUAUACUGAAGAUGGUUGUUGAAUAUUGUUUGUUAACAAUAUCUAUAUGGCCGUAUGGCUGUAAAGAGAGAUGUUGAAAGGUGCAAUUUUAGUGCAAAAAUGUGCAUGUUUAACAACAUGUUGAAUGAACAAACAUUAUAAUGCAGUAAAACACUAGGAAUCAUUAUGUUUUCAAAACUUUAUAACAACUUAGUAAAUGUGUUGGAAUGUCCAUAUAUCCAUCCACCAAAAGGAGGUAUCUACAUGUUAGUGAAACUUAAUACAUUAUAGAUGGAUAAAUCUCAUUGGGGAGAAAUGAUGUGUUGAAUUUUAAUAUGCCCGAAACAAUUUCGGGCAUAUUAUGUUAUACCCCCUGGCAUCUGUUCCUCCGUACGAACCCAGAGGUACUUGUGUGACUGGGUAACAGUAUAUAAAUAACACAUGGGUUUGUUGGUAACUGUAAAAAUAUCAUCCCGAGGAAAAUACUGUUACCCGAGGAUGAUUGUCCAUAUUAUUAAUAGGUAGAAGACACCUAUUGAUUUUGAGGUCACAAGAUCAAAGGUCAAGAACUGAAAACAGUUUCCGGAGCAUAACUUAAGUUCCAUUUGGCACACAGUGUUCAAACUUCAUAGUAUGAUUGUCCAUAUUGGGUAGAAGACCUCUAUUGAUUUUGGGGUCACAAGGUCAAGGUCACUAUUGCCUUAAAACUGAAAACAGUUACCGGAGCAUAACUUAAGUUCCAUUUGGCCCACAGUGUUCAAACUUCAUAGGAUGAUUGUCCAUAUUGGGUAGAAAAUCCCUAUUGAUUUUGGGGUCACAAGGUCAAAGGUCAAGGUCAUUAUUACUUUAAAACUGAAAACAGUUUCCGGAACAUAACUUAAGUUUCAUUUGGCCCACAAUAUAAAAACUUCAUAGGAUGAUUGUCCAUAUUGGGUAGAAGACCCCUAUUGAUUUUGGGGUCACAAGGUCAGAGGUCAAGAUCAUUAUUACUUUAAAACUGAAAACAGUUUCCGGAACAUGACUUAAGUUCCAUUUGGCACACAGUAUUCAAACUUUAUAGGAUGAUUGGCCAUAUUGGGUAGAACACCACUAUUGAUUUUGGGAUCACAAGGUCAGAGGUCAAGGUCACUAUUACUUUAAAAGUGAAAACAGUUUCCGGAGAAUAACUUAAGUUCCAUUUCGCCUAGCGGUGCUCUUGUUAGUUUUCAGCUCAAUUUUUUUUAAGAAUAAAAGAGUGUGAGCUAUUGCUAUGUACAGUCAUGCCUUACUUUCUUGUUGUCAUCCUAAAACUUUAACAUUUUCUUCACAACAACCCUUUUGACAAGACCUUCAAGUAGACCAGACUGAACUUGAGUCUUAAAAUAUCUUGACCUUCCAAGUCACGGUGUCAAAUGUUUAAACUAUCAAUUUUGCUUGAUAUUUGCUUUAUUUGGCUGUAACUUUGUUAUUCUUUUUAGCUCACCUGAGCUUGCUCAGGGUGAGCUUUUUAGGAUCGUUUAAUGUCCGUUGUCCGUCCAAAUUUGUUCGUUAACACUCUUGCGGUCACAUUUUUACCUCAAUCAUCAUCAAAUUUUGUCACGAUGCUUGUCUAUGUAAUUGCUUAUAUGCGUUUGAACAUGGGUCAUCUCAGAUGAAAAACUAGGUCACAGGAGCUAAAAAUAGAAAAAUCUUGUUAACACUCUAAUGGCUACUGUUUUCAUCCAAAUAUCCUGGACUGAAAGUUUGUUUUGAUGAUUUUUAUGUCAAAUUUGAAUAUGGGUCACCUGGGGUCAAAAACUAGGUCACACUGCUCAAAUAUGGAAAAUCCUUGUUAACACUCUAGUGGUCACAUGUUUGACUCACCUGUCAUAAAACUUGGUCAGGAUGCUUGUCUAGGUAAUUGCUCGGAUGAGUUCAAACAUGUGUCAUCUCAGAUGAAAUACUAGGUCACAGGAGUUUAAUAUAAUAUGGGUUUGAUGGGUCAGGUGAGCGAUCUAGGGCCAUUUUGGCCCUCUUGUUGGCUGUAACUUUGUAAGUAAUCAAUGGAGUAUUUCAAACUUAGACAAAACAACCAUUUGGACAAGACAUGCUGAAAUGUUGAACAGACCUUGACCCUGAGCUUUAAAUCACAUUGACUGUCAAGUUCAAAUUAUUGAAUUUUGGUUAAGUUGUCAUGAGGGAAUGGUUCCCUCUUGCCAGUAACAUGGCUCUAAAUUUCUAUAUUACUGCAUUUUAUUCUAUCAAAUUGUUAUACAUGUAUCUGUUUUGUUAAGGGGAACGGUUCCACUUUAGAAAGUUUGUUUUAGAUAAGUUUUGAAAUUUAUUUUUUAUUUUGAGGAGGGAAUGGUUCCCUCUUACUGGUAACCUGGCUCUAAAUUUCUAAAUUAUUGCAUUUUAUUCUAUCAAAUUGUUAUAUCUAUUUUGUUAAGGGGGAACAGUUCCACUUUAGAAAAUGUGUCAUAUAUAAGUUUUGAAAUUUAUUUUUUAUUUCGGUGAGGGAAGGGUUCCCUCUUACCAUUUACAUGGCUCUCAAUUUCUAAAUUAUUGCAUUAAUUGUUAUAUCUGUUUUGUUAAGGGGGAACAGUUCCACUAUAGAAAAUGUGUCAUAUAUAAGUUUUAAAAUUUAUUUUUUAUUUCGGUGAGGGAAGGGUUCCCUCUUACCGUUUACAUGGCUCUCAAUUUCUAAAUUAUUGCAUUAAUUGUUAUAUCUGUUUUGUUAACGGGGAACGGUUCCACUUUAGAAAAUUGGUAAGUGAUAAGUUUUGAAAUUUAUUUUUUAUUUUGAUGAGGGAACGGUUCCCUCUUACGGGUAACCUUGCUCUAAAUUUCUAAAUUAUUGCAUUUUAUUCUAUCAAAUUGUUAUAUCUAUUUUGUUAAGGGGGAACGGUUCCACUUUAGAAAAUUGGUAAGUGAUAAGUUUUGAAAUUUAUUUUUUAUUUUGAUGAGGGAACGGUUCCCUCUUAUGGGUAACCUUGCUCCAAAUUUCUAAAUUAUUGCAUUUUAUUCUAUCAAAUUGUUAUUUCUGUUUUGUUAAGGGGGAACGGUUCCAUUUUAGAAAAUGUAUCAUACUUAAGUUUUUAAAAAAAAAAAUUAUUUCGAUGAGGGAACGGUUCCCUCUUACCAUUUACAUGGCUCUGAAUUUCUAAAUUAUUGCAUUUUAUUCUAUCAAAUUGUUAUAUCUGUCUUGUUAAGGGGGAACGGUUCCACUCUAGAAAAUGUGUUAUAAAUAAGAUUUGAAAUUUAUUUUCUAUUUCGAUGAGGGAACGGUUCCCUCCUACCGGUAACAUGGCUCUAAAAUUCUAAAUUAUUGCAUUUUAUUCUAUCAAAUUUUUGAACCUGUUUUGUUAAGGGGGAACGGUUCCACUUUAGAAAAUGUGUAAGAGAUAAGUUUUGAAAUUUAUUUUUUAUUUCGAUGAGGGAACGGUUCCCUCUUACCGGUAACAUGGCUCUAAAUUUCUAUAUUACUGCAUUUCAUUCUAUCAAAUUGUUAUACAUGUACCAGUUUUGUUAAGGGGGAACGGUUCCACUUUAGAAAAUUUGUUAUAGAUAAGUUUUGAAAUUUAUUUUUUAUUUCAAUGAGGGAACGGUUCCCUCUUACCGGUAACAUGGCUCUCAAUUUCUAUAUUACUGCAUUUCAUUCUAUCAAAUUGUUAUUUCUGUUUUGUUAAGGGGGAACGGUUCCAUUUUAGAAAAUGUAUCAUACUUAAGUUUUUAAAAAAAAAAUUAUUUCGAUGAGGGAACGGUUCCCUCUUACCAUUUACAUGGCUCUGAAUUUCUAAAUUAUUGCAUUUUAUUCUAUCAAAUUGUUAUUUCUGUUUUGUUAAGGGGGAACGGUUCCAUUUUAGAAAAUGUAUCAUACUUAAGUUUUUAAAAAAAAAAUUAUUUCGAUGAGGGAACGGUUCCCUCUUACCAUUUACAUAGCUCUGAAUUUCUAAAUUAUUGCAUUUUAUUCUAUCAAAUUGUUUUAUCUGUCUUGUUAAGGGGGAACGGUUCCACUCUAGAAAAUGUGUUAUAAAUAAGAUUUGAAAUUUAUUUUCUAUUUCGAUGAGGGAACGGUUCCCUCUUACCGGUAACAUGGCUCUAAAUUUCUAUAUUACUGCAUUUCAUUCUAUCAAAUUGUUAUACAUGUACCAGUUUUGUUAAGGGGGAACGGUUCCACUUUAGAAAAUUUGUUAUUAGAUAAGUUUUGAAAUUUAUUUUUAUUUCAAUGAGGGAACGGUUCCCUCUUACCGGUAACAUGGCUCUCAAUUUCUAUAUUACUGCAUUUCAUUCUAUCAAAUUGUUAUUUCUGUUUUGUUAAGGGGGAACGGUUCCAUUUUAGAAAAUGUAUCAUACUUAAGUUUUUAAAAAAAAAUUAUUUCGAUGAGGGAACGGUUCCCUCUUACCAUUUACAUGGCUCUGAAUUUCUAAAUUAUUGCAUUUUAUUCUAUCAAAUUGUUAUUUCUGUUUUGUUAAGGGGGAACGGUUCCAUUUUAGAAAAUGUAUCAUACUUAAGUUUUUUAAAAAAAAAUUAUUUCGAUGAGGGAACGGUUCCCUCUUACCAUUUACAUGGCUCUGAAUUUCUAAAUUAUUGCAUUUUAUUCUAUCAAAUUGUUUUAUCUGUCUUGUUAAGGGGGAACGGUUCCACUCUAGAAAUGUGUUAUAAAUAAGAUUUGAAAUUUAUUUUCUAUUUCGAUGAGGGAACGGUUCCCUCCUACCGGUAACAUGGCUCUUAAAUUAUUGCAUUUUAUUCUAUCAAAUUUUUGAACCUGUUUUGUUAAGGGGGAACGGUUCCACUUUAGAGAAUGUGUAAGAGAUAAGUUUUGAAAUUUAUUUUUUAUUUCGAUGAGGGAACGGUUCCCUCUUACCGGUAACAUGGCUCUAAAUUUCUAUAUUACUGCAUUUCAUUCUAUCAAAUUGUUAUACAUGUACCAGUCUUGUUAAGGGGGAACGGUUCCACUUUAGAAAAUUUGUUAUAGAUAAGUUUUGAAAUUUAUUUUUUAUUUCAAUGAGGGAACGGUUCCCUCUUACCGGUAACAUGGCUCUCAAUUUCUAUAUAACUGCAUUUCAUUCUAUCAAAUUGUUAUACAUGUACCAGUCUUGUUAAUGGGGAACGGUUCCACUUUAGAAAAUUUGUUAAAGAUAAGUUUUGAAAUUUAUUUUUUAUUUCAAUGAGGGAACGGUUCCCUCUUACUGGUAACAUGGCUCUCAAUUUCUAUAUUACUGCAUUUCAUUCUAUCAAAUUGAAUACAUGUACCACCAACUGUUUUGUUAAGGGGGAACGGUUCCACUUUAGAAAAUUUGUUAUAGAUCAGUUUUGAAAUUUUUUUUUUAUUUUGAGGAGGGAACGGUUCCCUCUUACCAUUUACAUGGCUCUAAAUUUCUAAAUUAUUGCAUUUUAUUCUAUCAAAUUGUUAUAUCUAUUUUGUUAAGGGGGAACGGUUCCCCUUUAGAAAAUAUGUUAUGAUAAGUUAUGAAAUUUAAUUUUUAUUUCGAUGAGGGAAUGGUUCCCCCUUAAGCAUAAUGUAUCUCUUAUUACUGAAAAAUUGCUUUUUAUUGAUCAAAACAUGUUGUAUUCUGUACAUGGCUUUUUUUCUUCGGGGGAACGGUUCCCCCGAAAACAUUUGCAAAAGAAAAAAAAAAUAAAAUUUGGAUGUUUA
Ruditapes philippinarum (Manila clam) is the source of this 7462-nucleotide long non-coding RNA. RefSeq lists it as uncharacterized. The transcript has 3 exons. The record is from RefSeq and is a predicted model, not a curated record. Lineage: Eukaryota; Metazoa; Mollusca; Bivalvia; Venerida; Veneridae.